RNAcentral lists this long non-coding RNA (2869 nucleotides) under Homo sapiens (human). RNAcentral describes it as "HSALNT0322807". The record is from RNAcentral. Lineage: Eukaryota; Metazoa; Chordata; Mammalia; Primates; Hominidae.
UUAGAAGCAAGAUGGAGUCGGUUAGGUCAGACCUCUUUCACUGUCUCAGUUAUAAUUUUGCAAUGGCAGUUUCAGUUGUUGAUCUGGCAGAUGUUUUCUUUUCCCAUCUGGAAAGAGGAUCAAAGCAGAGGACAUUUAUGCAGAAAAGAUAGCAAAAUAUAUUCCAUGCUGCAAGGUUAUGUUAACUCUUCAGGUUUUUGUCACAGUAUAGUAGGAAGGAACUUUGUGUAUCUUAACAUUCCACAGAGCAUCAUAGUAUUUAUUAUAUUGAUGACAUCAUGUUAAUUGUGUUGGUGCAAGGAAGUGGGAAGUAUUCUGGAUACCUUGGCAAGACCCAUGGGUCUUGCGUCAUAGCCUGAGAGAUAAAUCCUACAAUGAUUUAGGGGUCUGCCAUACUUAUGAAGAUUUUAGGGACUCAAUGGUUUGGGCUAUGCAGGGAUAUCCCCUUUAAGAUGCCAAGAACCUGGACAUCCUCCACCAGAACAAUCUCACAACAUGUCAAGUUUCCAGAGAUUGCUACUGCCUUCUUAAGCAGAUUUUCAAUGACCUAAGUUCCACUGGAAGUAGACCUAACAUAACUAGGAUGAACAGGAAACCUCUGAAUGUGAAAGUGAACACUAUUAAUACUUACAUGAAGGCAACAGGCAUGAACUGGAACAACCUUGGCCAUGCUGGGACGUAUGUUCACCCUAAGCAAAGAUCAGGAAUUCAGGCAGGGCUUGGCUGAGUGACUUCUCUGUUCCACAUGGCAUUGACACGGUACGUUUCAGCUGGUGGCUGGCCUGGUCUGGUGGGUCCAAGGUAGCUUUGUUCACAUGCCUGCUGUCUUGGUGAGGUGGCCAGAAGUUUGGGCUGAGCUAGUUCUUUCUCUCUUUUUCUGCAGUCUCAGGGCCUCUCCAUGUGUUUUCUCGAGCAAUGUGUUUGGUCUUCUGGAAUUAUGAUUCAUGGAUUCAAGAGACCACGGUAGAAGCUUCUAAUCCUCUUAAAAAGCAAGACUGAUCAUGGGAAACUGUCCUGUCCACUAGUACAUUAUUUGACAACCAUAAGACCAAAGGACUCCUUGGACACCUAGUCAGGAGGGUGGUGAGUUGAACUGAGCAAGCUUGAGCAUCUCAAACUGAAGUGGACACUUGCGCUUUAUACAGAGUAAGGCCCAAAUUGAAUUAACCUGGAGUGAGUCUGCAACAAGCCUAGCGUCUGCAUUUCUAUAACUGAUCUCAGCUAACACUGGAGCUACUUAAAUUCCCAAUGAUUUUAGAAAACUAUUUUUUUUAAAGUGUGUGAUUUGAAGGUAAAUGAACCUAUUCCAAUUUAACUGCUUUAUUUUUGUGGUUGCAUAUAUAAUCAUAUUUAAGCAAUUUAAAAUCCAAACUCCCUUUUGGAGCUGUUUUAUUUUCUGAAGGGUCUUCCUUCCUUUUUCUUAUGCCCAAGAUGGUGUCUGGGUGCAGAAGGAAGCUUAUUUACCUUCCGGCUUUGGGGAAGGGCUCCUUACCCAAGUGAUGUGGUUCUCUCGUUUCCCUGUUGAUCACCAGCUGAGAUAUGUACUCACCUCACUUGACUUCUAUCCUCACUGUGUCUGCUGAUAAAAUGUCAGUUUUGUCCUCCAUUAGCUUUCUGGCCUGCCUGUGUAACCCAAGGCCUUCAGUGUCAUCUCACCUCUCUCUGUAGUGACCCAAAGGCAAGUUCAUAGAUUCCUGACUCUUGGCUAGCUUCUAUGACUUUUUCUAGGAACAAGUAGGAGCUUCUGGCUCUUUUCUAUACUGCAAGGGAAAGUGUAGUAAACUUGAGGAUGGCUAAUACAGUCCCCUCUAACAACUCAUGCUUCUUUCUCCUCCACUGCAAACACACAUGCUGGUUUAGGCCAGCAGGCACUAUGUGUGGUGUGGUGGUCUGCCCUCUGUCCCAGACAGGAAUUGCAGUGCCUGAGGGCCUUUUUCCACCCAGGGCACAACUCGCCAGUUUGAAGUUUCUAGCUUAUCUAUCUUCUCUGCCUCAUUUCUGGCUCCACAUUCAACCCCUCCACUGGCUAAAUCUUAGGGGUCCAGAGUGGGACCACUGAGAUCCUAAAGAAUCCAGGCAGGGCGUGCACUUUGCUCCCUGCUAAGCUCUCCUGCUGCUCAGGAGGGGUGUGUGCCCUCUCCUCAAUCUGGUAGAUACUUCUUUCAUCAUUGGUUUUGAAAUCCUCCACUGAUGACUUUGUUGUUCUGGGUGUUUCCUCUGUCCUCUCCUCUCAUAUCUUAAUGGUGGAUAGGGUUUUAGGGAUUAAAAAAUCUCUGGAUUACUGAAAGGAAAAAUGUUUAGAGAGGCAUUUAAGAUGAUUUUUCUUAUUAUCACUUUUAAACCCACACUGAAGGUCUAGGUCCUAUACCUGUUCUGUUGGAAUCUUGGCCAAUCUCACAGUUUUUCUGGUCAUUCUUAGAAUAGUUAUAAUGGCCUUUGUUUAAAAAACAAUUUCAUAUGAAAACUAAAAUAUGCAGGUCAGCAUAAUAAUCAAACCCUUAUACUCUUACCUAAAUGUCAUUACGUAGGUUUCCCCCAAACAUCACCUCCUCAGGGAGGCUUUCUCUGACCAUUAAAUGUAGCCUCAUGGAAGUUCUAGGCAACCUUUGCCAUUUCCUGUUGUAACACCUUGAUUUAGUUCACUUAACAUAUACAUAUUGGGGGCUUACUACGUGGCAUCCAGAAUUAUUCUAGGCACUAGGAAUAUCACAAUAAAUAAGACAGAGCCGGUCCUUUACCUAGUGGAAGGACACAAGCACUAGACAAACAAUUAAAUGAGCAAGAAAAAUAUCAUUUAGCAGCAUGUGCUAUGCAGAUAAUUUUGUUUUUUGAGACAGAGUCUCACUGUGUCACCCAGGCUGGAGUGCAG